RNAcentral lists this transfer RNA (76 nucleotides) under Desulfobacterales bacterium. Its description in RNAcentral is "tRNA-Glu". It matches the Rfam family "tRNA". Rfam says of the family: Transfer RNA (tRNA) molecules are approximately 80 nucleotides in length. Their secondary structure includes four short double-helical elements and three loops (D, anti-codon, and T loops). The record is from RNAcentral. Lineage: Bacteria; Pseudomonadati; Thermodesulfobacteriota; Desulfobacteria; Desulfobacterales.
GGUCCCAUCGUCUAGUGGUCUAGGACGCCGGCCUCUCACGCCGGUAACCCGGGUUCGAGUCCCGGUGGGAUCACCA